CUGUAAUUCUCGAGCUCCUUAAGACAUCAGUUGUGCAACCUCCCUCCCAUUCUACUGUUUGCUUUUAUUGCUUGUGGGUCAGAAGCAGUGCAGUCUACAAGGAUUUCCUCCUUUCCUUCAAUUACUCCUGAAAGGCACUGCUUCUCAAGCCUGAUGUUUAAGUCAUGGAUUAUUUCCUAAACAGCACUGGGGCUGAAGCAGGAGGCAAAUGGCCGAUUCUCUCUGGAGGAAGAUGUGAAAAUCCAGGAUCCUGUGGACAUCGGUGGCUUUGGCUCCCUUGGGCGAGUGAGCAGAGUGAUGCUUCUCAGACUGCAGUAAAGAAUUUCUUUUGAAAUUUCCUGGAAGGCGGUUGUGCUGGGGUCGCAUCCCAUCAGAAUCACUUCCAUUUUUCUCUUCAUCUGCUGGCGAGCUUGGUAACGCUCUUGUCCUGCACGCUUUGGGCUGUGUGCCAGGUUCACCUGGUUGGCAGAAUUGCAGUUACCACAAGACAACUGCAGCUGUGUCAAGCUGCAACCCUAUACCUGCUUUCAGAUUUUUGGAUGGAUACCCAGAAAUGGGAUCGCUAGCUCACACGAAUGUCUUCCUGUUUGUGUAUCCUCUACUAUCAAUGCAAAGUACCUCUCAUCCAAUUUUCCACAGUCAACCCAAUGCGAAUACAAUCGACCCUCUGCGUCCUACUGUUCUGCAUCCCUGGAUUCAACCAACCAUCCAUUGAAGAUAUUUGGAAACAAAAACUGCACUUCUAGAGCAGCAAGAGACAUAGCACUCCUCCCCUGCAGAGACCACAGAAUCAUGGCGUCAUCUUGGAAGCAAAGAACAGCCCUCACCAG
Molecule: long non-coding RNA, 830 nt
Filed under: Heterocephalus glaber (naked mole-rat)
Lineage: Eukaryota; Metazoa; Chordata; Mammalia; Rodentia; Bathyergidae
Description: lncRNA (ENSHGLG00100035289.1)
Source: RNAcentral